CUCGGGAGCAGAAACCGAGGGGGGAAACAGACACUUCAGUCUCCCCGAGCAACUGGCCCCUCCUCUCUUCGUCUUCCUCUCACAAGGCUAGCCUAGCCAGCAGCAAUGGCUAGAGCACCGCUGCUGCUGCUGCUUGUUCCUCUUCUCGCGGCGGUGUGCCUCGCGUCCUUGGCCCCCGGCGCCAAUGCGGCGGGGAGGAAGAUGGUCGGCGUCUACGAGCUCAGCAUGGGAGAUUUCUCUGCCAAGGUCACCAACUGGGGCGCCACCGUCACGUCCGUCGUCUUUCCGGAUUCCAAAGGGAAUUUGGGCGAUGUUGUCCUUGGCUAUGACACCAUCGCUGAAUAUGUUAACGGAUCCAGUUACUUUGGAGCGCUUGUUGGACGAGUAGCCAACAGGGUGGCCAAGGCGCGCUUCGUGCUCGAUGGAAAAGUCUACCACCUAUAUGCCAACGAUGGCAAGAACGCACUUCAUGGCGGUCAUAGGGGCUUCAGCAAAGUUAUAUGGACGGUGAAGGAAUAUGUCAGUGGUGGUGACUCCCCACACAUCACGCUGUACUAUCAUAGCUUCGACGGAGAGCAAGGGUUUCCCGGGGCCCUGGACGUGUACGUGACGUACGAGCUGUCGAGCCCGUACGUGCUGAGCGUGCGCAUGAACGCGACGGCGCUGGACAAGGCCACCCCGGUGAACCUGGCGCAGCACACGUACUGGAACCUGGGCGGGGAGGGCAGCGGCGACGUCCUGGGCAACACGGUCCAGCUCUUCGCGUCCCGGUACACGCCCGUGGACGCGACGCUCAUCCCCACGGGGCAGCUGGCGCCCGUGGCCGGCACGCCCUAUGACCUCCUGGCGCCGACCUCCGUGCGCGAGCACCUCCGCCAGGUCGUGGGCGGCAGCAGCAACGGCAGCACCAUCUACGGCUACGACAUCAACUACGUGGUCGACGGGGACGCGCGCGCGCUGCGCAAGGUGGCGGCCGUCCGGGACGGCGCGUCCGGGCGCGCGCUGGAGCUGUGGGCGGACCAGCCCGGGGUGCAGUUCUACACCGGCAACUUCCUCCAGGACGUCAAGGGGAAGGGCGGCAAGACGUACGGGCAGUACGGCGCGCUGUGCCUCGAGACGCAGGGGUUCCCCGACGCCGUGAACCACCCCGACUUCCCGUCGCAGAUUGUGAGGCCUGGCCAGGCGGCGUACAAGCAUGACAUGGUGUUCAAGUUCUCCUUCUAGCUAGAGCUGGUCGACCCAAGGAUGGGCACCGCUGUUUAGGCACCUUCAGUCGAGUGACCGGUCUCCUGAUGUUCUGACUCUUUUGGUGUCGGUACUUGGUAGGAAGAUCAGCAAUAAUACUCUCGGGUACAAGGCUAUUUUUGCACUGAAAACUGAGAAAUUUAUGGGAUGCCCCUCGUGUACGGGUGCGUCGACAUAUCCCAAACCGUCCUCAACGCCGGUUAUAGGCCAGUCCACGUGCAGUAAAAGCAUCUCCAACAGCCG
Molecule: ribosomal RNA, 1488 nt
Filed under: Triticum aestivum (bread wheat)
Lineage: Eukaryota; Viridiplantae; Streptophyta; Magnoliopsida; Poales; Poaceae
Description: partial small subunit ribosomal RNA
Source: RNAcentral